UAGCAGCGCCAGGCCAGGCCAGGCCAGGCCAGCAGAGCCGAUACGAUACGAUAAACCAAAAGCAUACAAAACCAAAUGAAACCAAAAACUGAACUGCGCUAUGUUGAGAACGACUAGAAAUCGGAAUUCGUGUUUUUCUCACCAAGCAAGGUUGCUCAGAUACAUGUUUAGUUCAGUUGAAUUUUUGGUGUCGUCUUUGGUGGAGCGUUCGUUUUUAAUAUAAAUCUACUUUUAUAAAUUACACCUUGCGAAGUGAAUGCAAAAAUAAAACUUCAAGCAAAUUGAAGGAAACGAAGCUACGAAGAGAGUAUAAUACCCUAUAUGAGUUAAAAAAGGAAGUGAAACACUUGUUUUUGUGUUAUUUCCGUUGCAUUAUCUGAGAAUGUGAAGUGUGUCUAGUGAAUUUUUGUUUUUGAAUAGAAAAGUUUGAAAAUAGUUAAGAAAAAAAAAUCACUUAAACUCCUGGUCCAGCAAUAACAGAAGCUGCAAAAACAACAAAUACAACAACUUUAACGCCUUCGUCUUCAUCUCUUUUAUCUUUUAAAAAGUCAGUCAGUCCGGACUCCGGCUGAUGGCUGAUGGCUGCUGGUUUUGGUUGCAUGUGAUGUGGAUUUUGUAUGCGAUUCUGUAUGAUGGUUCACUCACUCACUGUCACUAUUCUUCACCGUUAAAACACACAACAGACCGUAUUUCUAUAUAAUGUUGCUGAUGCUGGAGCAAUAAACAUAGUAAUUGUCAUCUGAAGUAAUGGAAACAGUUUUAUACAAAAACAGCAAGCAACGACAUCAAAAAGAUUCAUCCAAAUGAAAUCAGUUGAAUCUGCAAUGCAAUCAGAGUGAAAUACAACAGAAAAACACAUCCAUUGGACAUCAAAUAAAGAAGGAAACAGUUCUUCUCCUCGUCACUUCGUCAGACAACCGACAACGUACAUAACGACGACGACAGUAAUCUGUCUUUUUCUUUUAAAUUGAAUUUAUACUCGGAAGAGUUUCAAUCAUCCACCCAAGCCCAAGCCCAAUCGCAAUUCCAAAACCCAAACCAAAGCCAAGAGUCGCUCGUGUCGUGGCAUCGCCGUCGUCGGUCGUUGUUUCUUUCAAUCUUUUCAAUUUACACCACCUCGGUUUCAGGUCUCACGGUAGAUUACCUCUUCCUAUUGUAGGUAGUUUCGAAUGAUCUUGGAUGAUGAUAAUGAUAAUGAUGAUGAAGAAUGACUAAUAGACGUGUAAUUGAAGUUUACUGGAAAUCUAUCCGCCGCCAUUGAAAUGAAACAAACAUCAAACCAAAUUAUGCGACAAAUUGAAUCAAAUUCAUUCAGAGGAACCGACAUCGAAGGAGCCAUUUCUAUUUCUACUGACGAAGGCGAUAGUAUCAUCCACGUCGUUGACAUAAUGACAAAUUUCAUUUUAAAUUACCGUUGUUGGUGGUGGAUUUUAUAAGCGGACAUUUUGUGUCAAAAUGAAUGGCCCCUCAAAAGAGUCACGACAACAACGACAUCGCCAUUCUUUUCGUAAGAUAGCUCAAGCUCAAAUAAACAAGGAUUCAAAUAAUAAUCUUUUAGUAGUAGGAGUUGUUGGCUCCUGCUAUUACUCUGGCUCCUUUUUUCAAAGAAAUAAAAACAGAAAUCGUAAAAGAAAUAGAAACAAAAAUAAAAACAAAUUCAAAACGAAACAAUUUACCAUCAGCAUUUGACAAUCAGAUAGAGGGCAGGAUAUUCCUUUAUAUUCUUUUACAUUCAAACAUAGAGAAG
Molecule: long non-coding RNA, 1747 nt
Organism: Eupeodes corollae
Lineage: Eukaryota; Metazoa; Arthropoda; Insecta; Diptera; Syrphidae
Exons: 3
Source: RefSeq, a predicted model, not a curated record